UACGUAGGGUGCAAGCAUUAAUCGGAUUUAUUGGGCGUAAAGGGCGCGUAGGCGGGCAUUUAAGUCAGAUGUGAAAUCCCGGAGCUCAACUCCGGAACAGCAUUUGAAACUGAACAUCUAGAGGGUAGGCGGAGAAAACGGAAUUCCACAAGUAGCGGUGAAAUGCGUAGAUAUGUGGAAGAACACCAGUGGCGAAGGCGGUUUUCUAGCUUACACCUGACGCUGAUGCGCGAAAGCAAGGGGAGCAAACAGG
RNAcentral lists this ribosomal RNA (253 nucleotides) under uncultured bacterium. RNAcentral's name for it is "partial 16S ribosomal RNA". It matches the Rfam family "Bacterial small subunit ribosomal RNA", at positions 524 to 776 of the family's 1533-position model. The record is from RNAcentral.